RNAcentral lists this ribosomal RNA (638 nucleotides) under uncultured bacterium. RNAcentral's name for it is "bacterial SSU rRNA". It matches the Rfam family "Bacterial small subunit ribosomal RNA", at positions 607 to 1245 of the family's 1533-position model. The record is from RNAcentral.
GCUCAACCGGGGAGGGUCAUUGGAAACUGGGGAACUUGAGUGCAGAAGAGGAGAGUGGAAUUCCACGUGUAGCGGUGAAAUGCGUAGAGAUGUGGAGGAACACCAGUGGCGAAGGCGACUCUCUGGUCUGUAACUGACGCUGAGGCGCGAAAGCGUGGGGAGCGAACAGGAUUAGAUACCCUGGUAGUCCACGCCGUAAACGAUGAGUGCUAAGUGUUAGAGGGUUUCCGCCCUUUAGUGCUGCAGCAAACGCAUUAAGCACUCCGCCUGGGGAGUACGGUCGCAAGACUGAAACUCAAAGGAAUUGACGGGGGCCCGCACAAGCGGUGGAGCAUGUGGUUUAAUUCGAAGCAACGCGAAGAACCUUACCAGGUCUUGACAUCCUCUGACAACCCUAGAGAUAGGGCUUCCCCUUCGGGGGCAGAGCGACAGGUGGUGCAUGGUUGUCGUCAGCUCGUGUCGUGAGAUGUUGGGUUAAGUCCCGCAACGAGCGCAACCCUUGAUCUUAGUUGCCAGCAUUCAGUUGGGCACUCUAAGGUGACUGCCGGUGACAAACCGGAGGAAGGUGGGGAUGACGUCAAAUCAUCAUGCCCCUUAUGACCUGGGCUACACACGUGCUACAAUGGGCAGAACAAAAG